RNAcentral lists this ribosomal RNA (292 nucleotides) under uncultured bacterium. RNAcentral's name for it is "partial 16S ribosomal RNA". It matches the Rfam family "Bacterial small subunit ribosomal RNA", at positions 505 to 796 of the family's 1533-position model. The record is from RNAcentral.
GUGCCAGCCGCCGCGGUAAUACAGAGGUCCCAAGCGUUGUUCGGAUUCACUGGGCGUAAAGGGUGCGUAGGCGGUCGGGUAAGUCUGACGUGAAAUCCCGCAGCUCAACUGCGGAACUGCGUCGGAUACUAUUCGGCUUGAGGAAUGGAGGGGAGACUGGAAUUCUCGGUGUAGCAGUGAAAUGCGUAGAUAUCGAGAGGAACACCAGUGGCGAAGGCGAGUCUCUGGACAUUUCCUGACGCUGAGGCACGAAAGCCAGGGGAGCAAACGGGAUUAGAAACCCUGGUAGUCC